This 253-nucleotide unclassified non-coding RNA is filed under the name uncultured fungus. RNAcentral describes it as "partial contains 5.8S rRNA and ITS2". Lineage: Eukaryota; Fungi. The record is from RNAcentral.
AACGCAAGUUGCGCCAGAUUGUGAGAUUUGGCAUGUUUGUAUGAGGGUUGUGACACACUGAAAGUGGGGUUAAAUCUUAUUGAGAGGUGAGAUUUUGCUCUGAAGUUUUAUUAGAUUUGAAGGGAGUGGUGGAGUGCGAUGGAUGAGCGAUUCGGCUGCAAGGCUGAUUCAACCAGCUCAUUUUAUCAGAAAGCUCUUUAUCAUCUCUUUUAUUGACAACCUCAUAUCAAGCAAGAAUACCCGCUGAACUUAA